GACGAACGCCGGCGGCGUGCUUAACACAUGCAAGUCGAACGAUGAUGCUGGAGCUUGCUCCAGUUGAUUAGUGGCGAACGGGUGAGUAACACGUGAGCAAUCUGCCCUUGACUCUGGGAUAACUGCGGGAAACCGUAGCUAAUACCGGAUACUUUCACCGGGGGGCAUCCUCUGGUGAUGAAAGAAUUUCGGUCAAGGAUGAGCUCGCGGCCUAUCAGCUUGUUGGUGAGGUAACGGCUCACCAAGGCGACGACGGGUAACCGGCCUGAGAGGGUGACCGGUCACACUGGGACUGAGACACGGCCCAGACUCCUACGGGAGGCAGCAGUGGGGAAUAUUGCACAAUGGGCGCAAGCCUGAUGCAGCAACGCCGCGUGAGGGAUGAAGGCCUUCGGGUUGUAAACCUCUUUUAGCAGGGAAGAAGCGAAAGUGACGGUACCUGCAGAAAAAGCACCGGCUAACUACGUGCCAGCCGCCGCCGUAA
This 484-nucleotide ribosomal RNA is filed under the name uncultured bacterium. RNAcentral describes it as "partial 16S ribosomal RNA". It matches the Rfam family "Bacterial small subunit ribosomal RNA", at positions 28 to 523 of the family's 1533-position model. The record is from RNAcentral.